GGAUGUGAGGGUGAUCUGGCUGCGACAUCUGUCACUCCAUUGAUCACCAGGGUGGAUUCGGCUGAUUUGGCUGGCUAGGCGGGUGUCCCCUUCCUCCCUCACUGCUGCGUGUACAUCUCUCCUAAAGCUACGUGCUGGGUCAAAGAGGAUGACCUUCCCCGAAUAGAGGACUGGUCUUUGGUCAAAGGUAUUCGAGUAGCUGCACUCCCCUGCUAGAACCUCCAAACAAGCUCUGAAGGGGAAGUUUCUUUAUGGAAGGAAAAGCACAGCACAAGUACAAUAGU
Molecule: small nuclear RNA, 284 nt
Filed under: Jaculus jaculus (lesser Egyptian jerboa)
Lineage: Eukaryota; Metazoa; Chordata; Mammalia; Rodentia; Dipodidae
Description: 7SK RNA (ENSJJAG00000001045.1)
Rfam family: 7SK RNA
About the family: 7SK was discovered as an abundant small nuclear RNA in the mid-70s but a possible function has only recently been suggested. Two independent studies have found that 7SK RNA binds the CDK9/cyclin T complex (known as elongation factor P-TEFb).
Source: RNAcentral